This 2002-nucleotide long non-coding RNA is filed under the name Sus scrofa (pig). RNAcentral describes it as "lncRNA (ENSSSCG00045007796.1)". The record is from RNAcentral. Lineage: Eukaryota; Metazoa; Chordata; Mammalia; Artiodactyla; Suidae.
UGGGAGUCGCAGUUCGUCCGGGGCAACUUCUGCCUCUCAGGCUGGUUGCAGCCGGCGCCCCGGGCCAGCGCAGCCUGGGCCCCAGCCAUCCUGCCCCCUCUCCGGCCGGGAGAAGCGGGCGCUGGGCUCUGGGGCUCCCUGAGCCCGCGGAGGCCAGCGCCCAGGGCGCACAAGAAGAGCAGGGGUGGAAGAAGAAAGGAAUUUCAAGGAGGGCAUUGCUUAAAGGGACGUUUGGACAGAGCCAGUUUCGGUGCUGGGCCGCAGCUCAGUGCCUAAUUUUAAUCUCAGGACUGCAGCCUGCGACCCGUGGACGGUCUCCUCAAACUUCUUCCCUCACACCCGAGUCUCUUCCUCCCUAGGAGUCUCCUGGUGCAUGGAACUGACCUGAAACUGGGGUUCCCCAAAGCCUCUGCCUGCCUUCUGCAGCUGAGCUGCUUCAGCCUCUCUGGGACACCCAUUUGAAGGAACCUGUCCAAAUCCAUGUAAGAGAUCUUGUAUUUUUUCCCUCCCAGCUGAGACUUCCUCCUCUGCCAGACACCUGUUCCAAGGAAGCUCCUGCAACUAGGGUGUGGGCUUGUGUCGUGAAGGUUGAGUAUCCAGGGUGACAGUGAAGAAUCCAUACUCCCACCCAAGAGUGGAUUUCAGUGCUGAGAGGAAGAGGAGGAAGACAUCUUGCUGGCUUGUGCCCCAGGUCUGCCUCUGGAGAAACAGGGCAAGCUGGCCCAUGGAACAUGUCACACUCUUGCAACCGGGGCACCUGAUCAGGCUGGAUGUGCCCAUCAGAUGCUGAAGGCACAGCUGCGUCCCUGCCCUGAGGUGAGUCCAUUUGGCCAGAGCAGGAGCGGUGCCCUGUCUCCAACCCAAAUCCAUAAGCAUGUUCUGAGUGUUCCAACUCUUUCUUCAACUCCAUCCCUGAGCCCGGAGUCUCAGCCAGGCGUCUGCCAGGGGCUCUGCCUGGGCUGGGGUUCAGCCUGGUGACCUUCAGUCUAACACCACCUCUCAGCCCUUCCUCCUGUUUCUCAGGAGCCCUAGAAGCUACCCUGGCCUGGGGCCCGGGAAGCUCCAUUUUGUUUCUCCUCAGCUGGGGAGCUGAACGAAUGCCCUCGACACUGGGGUCUUUCUCUCUCAGUCCCCCAGAGCGCUCACCCCAACUUACCCCGCCUCAGUACAUAAAAACCUCUGCAUCCCCCCCAUGGGUACCGAGAGCCUCCUUUAAAUCAGUCCCAGCUGCCUUCCCGCUCAGGACCUUCCCCUAGUUCUGCUCCUUGAAACCGCGAUUGCAGACAGGACAUAGAGGUUCAGAGGGAAGGGGAACAAAGACAUUUGGGGAGAACUCCUGAAAGAUAAAGCCCAGGGAAUCCUGUCUGGCCCCCCAAAUAGCACCACUUUUACAAGCUCCAUUCACGACCACUGGCCCCUUUGGACACGUGAUGCCUUUACAGAGGCUGCAGGUUUGGUAGUUUCAAGGCGAAGAUUCAAGACAGAUAUUGGGGGUCCAGUGUCCUUGCCCCUUGAGAAACAAAAAGCAAACCAACCCCAGAGAACACGUCCACCUCUCUGGCCCCUGGGCAACCAGAGCUGGAUGGACCUACCCAUCAGAUGCAGAAGACACACAUCUUUCUGUUCCCCGAGGUCAGUCAAUUUGUGCCAGAGAGUCAUCUUAACACAUCCUAGGGCUCCCACUAACCCCUCUUGGCACCACCUCGUAGCCUGGAGGUGCAGCCAGGGGGCUUCAGAUGGGCUUUGUCUGUGCUCUGGCCCCUCCCGGAGGUCAUCUCCCCUACCACUGACUCUCAGCCUUUCCUCCGGUUUCCCUCAGCGGCCCCCCAGGGCUCUCCUGGCCUUGGGCAGCUGCCAGCUUGAUGGAAUUCCUCCUCACCUUCUAAGCCCAGUGAAGUGCCCAGAGAGAGGGGUAGAUUCUCAAAGACUCCCAGCACGCACCCCCCACCCCAACGUAAGGCCUUCAACCCUCUGUUUUCUCCACCCACAUGUGCCAUGAGAG